RNAcentral lists this ribosomal RNA (757 nucleotides) under Lactobacillus sp. RNAcentral describes it as "bacterial SSU rRNA". It matches the Rfam family "Bacterial small subunit ribosomal RNA", at positions 37 to 759 of the family's 1533-position model. The record is from RNAcentral. Lineage: Bacteria; Bacillati; Bacillota; Bacilli; Lactobacillales; Lactobacillaceae.
UGGCGGCGUGCCUAAUACAUGCAAGUCGAACGCAUCCCGUUGAAUUGAAGUGCUUGCACUGAUUUUUAACAUUGGAUGAGUGGCGAACUGGUGAGUAACACGUGGGUAACCUGCCCAGAAGCGGGGGAUAACACUUGGAAACAGGUGCUAAUACCGCAUAACAACUGAAACCGCAUGGUUUCAGUUUGAAAGAUGGUUUCGGCUAUCACUUCUGGAUGGACCCGCGGCGUAUUAGCUAGUUGGUGGAGUAAUGGUUCACCAAGGCAAUGAUACGUAGCCGACCUGAGAGGGUAAUCGGCCACAUUGGGACUGAGACACGGCCCAAACUCCUACGGGAGGCAGCAGUAGGGAAUCUUCCACAAUGGACGAAAGUCUGAUGGAGCAACGCCGCGUGAGUGAAGAAGGGUUUCGGCUCGUAAAACUCUGUUGUUGAAGAAGAACACAUCUGAGAGUAACUGUUCAGGUGUUGACGGUAUUUAACCAGAAAGCCACGGCUAACUACGUGCCAGCAGCCGCGGUAAUACGUAGGUGGCAAGCGUUGUCCGGAUUUAUUGGGCGUAAAGCGAGCGCAGGCGGUUUCUUAAGUCUGAUGUGAAAGCCUUCGGCUUAACCGGAGAAGUGCAUCGGAAACUGGGAGACUUGAGUGCAGAAGAGGACAGUGGAACUCCAUGUGUAGCGGUGAAAUGCGUAGAUAUAUGGAAGAACACCAGUGGCGAAGGCGGCUGUCUGGUCUGUAACUGACGCUGAGGCUCGAAAG